CGGGGCGGCAAAACGUCCGCCCGGGCCCGAGGCGGGCGGAGGCAGCUGUGGUUACGUGCGGGGGGCCGGUGACGCAGUCGCGGGGCGCUGGGACGCGGCUUGCGGAGCCGGCCGGCGAGCGCAGGCCCCAGGCUCGGGCGCGGCGGCGGGACAGCACCUACCUUCCCGGCUUCGGGUCCGGGAGUGCGGGGCGCGGAGCCGCCGGAGCGCUGCCUCCCUCCUUCCUCCUCCCCUCGCCCCCGCCCCGCGGCGCGACACACAAUACUCGCCGGAAGCGGAAGCCGCGCCGAGGCUCGUGUCAGUGGAAGCUGGGGUGUCGGCGGGCGGCCGCGGCCGGGUCUAGCGGUGCCUGCGGAAGAAGGAGGAGGAGGGCUGGCGAUGAGAAGCAGCAGGGGGAAUCAAGGGCAAGAAGGGACCCAGAGGGGCAGGUGGCUGAGAUGCUGGCGUCCAGGUGACCCGAGGAAUCCUCUGGAGAUACAGGCCCGCGCAUGCGCGUGCUCGAGCGCUGAAGCCCAUUGCCCGCAGGGCGCUGGACUGGCGCCCCGGCCGGCGAGGCUGUCUAGUCCAGGCUCCAGGCCCCGGCUCUGGCCAGGCGCCGCCGCCUCCCGGUGCAGCUGAAAGUCGACGAAGAGGGCGGGGCGGGGGCGGCUUGUGGACUUCCACACUUUUCCUCUCUUCGGGCCAGUCUGGGGAGAGGGUGGCUAGCUGUGGCGGCGGCCAAUUACGUGGCGGACCUGCGGGGCUAAGCUGGCACGUCACUUCCGACUAGUGGAGUUUUUAGCCUUUUAACAUUCAAGGAUUAGGUAAAAGUCUUGCAGUGAAAAACCCGAGGACCCUUACCGCAAGUGUCUUUUGCUCCCAGCUACUGAUACUGGAUUCCACUCGUGAUUCUCCCUUUCUUAGCGCAUUCAUGAUAUAGACAUCAGUCUCUGAGCUGGAGGAGGACAAAGGCAGCGGUCCUGUGAAUUCUAUGCUCUAGCUUGGGUUAAGGGAUUUGGAAUUGCACUUGUUUCAGAGAGCUCCCUCUUUGCCCACUAGCAGGGCAUUAGCUGGUGCUGAAGACAGUGGCUGCUUGGCGAGCCUGGAUCUCCAAGUGACCCCCUCAGCAACUCCUGAUGAACAGGACUGAAGCCAAUAUUAAAGCAAGUCAACCAAAGGUUCUCUGGUGUAGACAAGACAGCAAAAGGACAGACUACCUUGUGGAACCUAGCAUUGUUCUCCUUCUGCAGCACUAAGUAACAUUUGUUCUCCGUUAAGAUCUUUGCAAACCACACACAAGAAUUGCUGGUCAUCCUGCCAAUAGAUGCUGCUCACAGAACCAAAUUUCCUGUGCUGAAUUGUCACUCAUGGGCUUGAGAGUAGGAGACUGGAGACCAAGGUGGCUAGAAUCCAGUUGGGCCUGAUGUCUCCCUGUUGAAAGGGCUCCUUGUGGAAUGAAUAGCACAUGGCUCCUGUGGUGGAUCUGAUAGUGGCAUAGCACCAAGUGAUGCAGGCCUGCCAGGGGCCACAGACACAGAAGAUGCUCCCGGGGUCCCCCAUGUACUCCAGACACACUGCAGGCCACCUCUCCCAGCAGGUUGCCAGUCAUGGGCCCCAUCAUCAUGACUUCUGUCCAAGGUACUGUGUGCAGAAAUGUGAUUGAGAUUCAAGUCAGGGCCUCUCUGCCCUUUUCCCUCCAGAAACAAAACCAAGAUAAUUUAUCCUGAACACGGUGAAAAAAGGAAGGGAGGGAGGAGAAAAAGUCCGGGUCUCACCUGGGAUUCUCUGUCUCCUGCAACAUGAAGGAUUUAGCCUGGGAGGAGGUGGUGAGAACUCUGGGAGAGAAAAAAGAAGGAAAGAAUAGUUUUACCCAUGCUGAAGUUAAUUUAAACCUUCACCUAGAGAAGCAAAAAAAAAAAACCCACACUUUCCCAUUUUGUGCCUCCCUUCCUAGAGUUUUAGCCAAAGGUUUAGCUAAGUAAUUGGUUUUACCAGCGCACUCACUCCUCCUAUCCCAAGUCUGUUUGACUCCCUCCCCAUCAUCCUCCUCACCUCUUUUCAGGCAGGGUGGGGAUAGCAGCAGGAGGAGAUUUUGGGAGCCUGGCAACUCCUGCAAGGACCGCAGGACAGCCCCUCUGUGGGGAUGCGUGGUGCCCCAUCUGCCGCCCUUCUGAAGAAUGCACUGCCUUCACUUUUUACUGUGUUAGAGUCCAUCCAGACUGUUCUAUCCAAAAAAGUUUCUUUUUCCCCCACAGGCAAUCAGGAAAUGAUUCCUUUCCCGACUGCUUCUGUCUAGUGCCUGGGAAUCUUGAGUCAAUCCCUCAGUAAGUCAGUGACUAGGGAAAUCCCUCUCUGAGCCUCCCAGUUCAUGUUGCUUAGGGAACCUGAUAUUUUCGUGAAACCUGCCUACACAUGGGCAGCCCAACAGCAGAACAAAUGGUGGUGACCAAAGUGAACAAAGAAGUAUAGUUGUGCCAGCUUCGUAGUUGCCCAUGUGGACAAGUCAGCAGGAUCAGGACACGAGGAAGAGUAAAUGUGAGACAGUCAAUGUGACUUCUGCGAUAAACAGAUUUUUAAACCCCGAAAUUUUGCAAAAUUUUGGUGAAACCUGAACUUUCUUCGUUGCAUAUACUGGCACUAUCUGUACCAUCAUACAACUGUCUCACAUUAAAGCUAUUUUUCUUGGGCACUGAUGAGUAAGGUUGGUAUAAGUUCCUCAGAUCAACAAAAACCCAUUUUCCUGUAAGUCUUACAUUUAGUAUUUAAGGAACUAAAACUUAAAUACAUUUUGUGAAAUGGUUGACACUUCACUGAUAAUGAUUUAUUGCUUGGAUUAAUAAAUUUUCCAAAAGUUGUCUUAUGUAGAAUAUGGUUUGCAACCAGCAGAACCAUUAAUCUAUACUGCAAUGAUAUGCACUAUGUAUAAUUGUUUAAAAGCCUCUACUUAAUGAUGUAAAAUGCUCUAUUUAAUUACACAUUUGGGUAAACUGUAUACUAACAUCUGAUGGCAUUUUUCCACUGUUUGUUGCUUUUUUCAAAUACUUUAUUGUACAAAGCUGUUCUUAAUAUUUUUCAAGUUUUUUUCUUUGAAUUUUGCUAAUGUUUUCCUUGAAUUAUGAGCACUGACAGAAUGUGCUUAGCACUUUUGGCUAUUCACACAGCUUUUGAGCAUGAUUUGCAUCCAAUAUUUACAUUGCUAGCAAUAAUAAGCCAUCUGUGAGUUUUGUCAAAAGUUAUUGGGGAUUUUUUAAAUUUUAGAAAUGCAAAUUAUUGUUUCUUUGAACUAACUCUUAUGCAGUUGCAAAGGCAUUUCCAGUUGUUAUAGUUUGUGUACAAUAUCAGGUGUUCCAGAUUAUGAUUCAUUAUUAAUAUCAUUGCUUCCUUGUUCCCUCUGAGGUCCAGAAGAUUCAUGUUUACAAUAUUUAGAAACAAUGUUAAAAAGGUAUCCAAAGUUUGUCACUUUAUUAUUAGUUUGUUCUUAAUAUUCUGUUUAAGUUUUUGAAUUCAUAGAUAUCAAAACGCUGCACAAUUAUGAUUUCCACAGGAAUAACAACACACUAACAAUAAGAACCAAAAACAGCAAAUAGGCUGCCUACAAGUUUUGACAAUAUUAGGAUAAUGAUAAUGACAGUUUUUCUAAAUCUCACAGUAAAGAAUGCAGCAACCCAGCAACACUGCUACCUGUGGCCUCAGGCUGCAGUGUCAGCUCUUCCCUGGGUCUCCAGCCUGCCAGUCUAACCUGAAAAUUAUGUACUUGCCAGCCCCCACAGUCACGUGAGUGAACUGGCCCAGGCUGGUCACCAGGGUCAGUUUCUCUGUGUGUCAUUAAUUCAUUCAGUCUUCAGCAGUCUCUUUGGAGCUGAGAUGUACCUACCAUCUGCCUUUUGGGUGCUUAGGGUGGAGAACCAGAAAAGUAUAACCUAGUGUGUAUCCUCAAAGAGCUAACAAUAUGGGGUGGUACCUAUAGGUCUGGAAACACUUUACUGACUCUGUGAGGCAUACCAGGAGACGUCAGAGAACAGUCCCUCCUCAAAUGCCAAAUGAGAUGCAGAAGAAAUAGUUUGCUCAAGUUCAUGGGCCAGAUAUCCCAGUGGUCAGGGAGUUUCAUGAAUGAGAUGGAACUUUGCAUGGAACCCGAGGGAUGUGUAUGAUUUGAGUAGAUGAAGAAAAUGAGACUUUCCAAGCAGCUAGAAGUUAGGGAGCAGCAAGAUGUGUGGUGGGAUUGAGCACAGUUGGUUCAGAGGAUAGACUGCAGUUUUAAUAAUUUGUAGUAAAUAUCUCCCAACUGUUUGGCACUAUUGGAGCAAGUUCUUGAAUGCCAAAUGAAGGCAUAAAUCAGUAAGAGGCAUAAUAAAAGGCUGAGCAGUGCUUGGCUUUUUACGAACUGAUCCUGAUAGGAGCAGCUGUUCAACAAAGUUGCCAGGUCACCGUUACAUAGUCCCUGCCUUCUAGGGGCUCACUGCCUACUGGGAGAGACAGUCUGAAAGUUGGUGGAGCAUGUAACUGUUGGAUGAGGAGUUUGAGCCUGUGGACUGUGGGACCCCCGAGGAGGGUGUGGCUACUCUAGGCAGAACAAUCCCACAGUUUAUUUAUAUUUAACCUUGAAAUUCAUUAGAGGAUUUUUCAGCAGAGGUUUGGUACUUGUUAAUGUUAAGGUUUGCAUUCUCUAGAACCUCAAGGAAAGCUGUACCGUGCAUAAUGUACCCUCUUAUGUUAAUGUUGUGUACUGUGAUCCUGUUUCAGGGACUUGCACUUAGGAAUCUGUUACAGUGAGCACAGAAGCAGACCUGUGGGCUCAUAGUCUUCACCCCCCACCCAUAUAUACAAGAUGAACAGAGUGGAGGUUAAACAACUUGACUAAACAACACAGUUCAUGGUAAAGCCCAAGACUGUACCUGCCCAUCCACUGCCUUUUCCAUGUAUCCUGGAACUGAGCAUAGACCUCUUCCCAGGCAGAGCUGACAGCAAGUAAAGGAGAUCAUAAUCAGGGGACCAAACAACUUUGUCUAAAGUGUGAAUGUCACCUAAGGAGAAGCUGUGAGAUCAGAAGGGUGGGGCAGAGGAGCAGACACCAUGAGGGAGAGUCCUUGGGGGUACAUCUGCCAGACUGACACUGUCUGGCCUGGGCAGUGGAGGGGCUAGCAGGAACCACAGGUACUGGUGGUGUGGCUACUACCGUUACAACUGCCUGUGCUUGGACAUGGACCCUCUGCAAUAUGCGGCAGUUUCAUUCAUUGCCCCCUACAUUCUACACCAAGUAGAAAUGGAAGGCAAUUGGAUACUUCACAGACAAGAUCUAAGUGGAGAAGGAAUGCGUCCUGUGGCUGCAGAGAUCCUUGGAGCUUGGAGGGGAGAGCUUGAGCCCCACUGAUGAUGACCUCCCACAGCUCGCCAACUCAGCCCUCCCUAAGUCCCCAUCGGGGGCCAAUUCUCACUCUGGGGUUGGGGGGACUCCACCAUAGCUCAUCCAUCAUAGGGAUGUUGGUAUCUACUGUGGGUUGGGUAGGGCCGAUGUGCUGAGGAUGGCUCCCCCACAAGCAAGAGAUGUGGAUUUGGGGAGCUUCCCAUCUUGUGUUGAAGGAACAUAACUCAGAAUAAUAAGAGCCAACUAUAACAAACCCACAGCCAACAUCAUACUGAAUGGGCAAAAGCUGCAGGCAUUCCCCUUGAAAAGUGGCACAGGAUAAGGAAGCCCUUUCUCACCACUCCUAUUCAAUAUAGUGUUGAAAGUCCUGAUCACAGCAGUCAGGCAACAGAAAUAAUAAAGGGCAUCCAAAUAGGAAGAGAGGAAGUCAAACUAUCCUUGUUUGCAGACAGUAUGAUUCUAUAUCUAGAAAACCCCAUAGCCUCAGCCCAAAAGGUCCUUCAUCUGAUAAUUUCAGCAAAGUUUCAGGAGACAAAAUCAGUGUACAAAAAUCACUAACAUUCCUAUACACAGUCGCCAAGCCAAGAGCCAAAUCAGGAGCACAAUCCCAUUCAUAAUUGCCACAAAAAAGAAUAAAAUACCCAGGAAUGCAGCUAACCAAGGAAGUAAAGGAUCUCUACAAUGAGAAUCACAAACGCUGCUCAAAGAAAUCAGAGAUGACACAAACAAAUGGAAAAACUUUCCAUGCUCAUGGCUAGGAAGAAUCAAUAUCAUUAAAGUGGCCAUACUACCCAAAGCAAUUUAUAGAUUCAAUGCUAUUCCUAUCAAACUAUCAAUUACAUUUUUCACAGAACUAGAAAAAACUUAAAAUUCAUAUGGAACCAAAAAGCCUGAGUAGUCAAGGCAAUCCUAAACAAAAAGAACAAAGGUGGAGGCAUCACAUUACCUAACUUCAAACUACAGGGCUACCAUGACCAAAACAGCAUGGUACUGGUACAAAAGCAGACACACAGACCAGUGGGACAGAAUAGAGAGCCCAAAAAUAAGGCCACAAACCUACAGCCAUCUGAUCUUCAACAAAGUUGACAAAAACAAGCAAUGGGGAAAGGUCUCCCUAUUCAAUAAAUGGUGCUGGGAUAACUGGCUGGCCAUAUGCAGAAGAUCGUAACUGGACCCCUUUUACUAUGUACAAAAAUUAAGAUGGUUUAAAGAGUUAAAACCCAAAAUUAUAAAAAUCCUGAAGAUAACUUAGGCAAUACCAUUCUGGACAUAGGAACUGGCAAAUAUUUCAUGAUGAAGACACCAAAAGCAAUUGUAACAAAAGCAAAAAUGGACAAAUUGGAUUUAAGAGCUUUUUCAUAGCAAAAUAAACAACAGGGCAGACAAUCUACCAAAUGACAGAAAAUUUUUGCAAACUAUGCAUCUGACAAGGGGCUAAUAUCUAGCAUCUAUAAGGAAUUUAAACACAGUUACAGG
This 6820-nucleotide long non-coding RNA is filed under the name Homo sapiens (human). Its description in RNAcentral is "HLA complex group 18 (HCG18)". The record is from RNAcentral. Lineage: Eukaryota; Metazoa; Chordata; Mammalia; Primates; Hominidae.